Non-coding RNA from Petromyzon marinus (sea lamprey), 1783 nucleotides. The record is from RefSeq and is a predicted model, not a curated record. NCBI's taxonomy places the organism in Eukaryota, Metazoa, Chordata, Hyperoartia, Petromyzontiformes, Petromyzontidae.
GCCGCUCGAAUCGCUGUCUCAGUUGAGCGCCGUGGCUCGCAUCGCGACCACUCGGAGGGACGAGAAAACCCGCUCGUUGUCAGCUGCCCUGGAACGACGGCAUUGAGCAGAAGCGACGUUGUGACGACGCCGAUUGUGGACGGAGUCGACGAACUCUCGCUGCUCGGCGCACCGACCGAUGUUUAGUUCAUCGCGUGCUCUGAAGAAGGACCGUCGCCCGGAACGUCGCCGACUCAACAAACACCACCACCAGCAGGCAGACACACACACACACACGGCGUCGUCAUCAUUAUUGACGAAGUGUCUUCCCGAUCGGCUCGGCGAGCCGUGCCGGCGCACGCGAACAACAUUCGGCAAGGCAGGAAUACCUCGAUGGCCGUGAUGGUAAUUGGUAAUUAGACGCGCGGUGGUGGCGGUGCUGGUGGUCCUGUGGGGGUGAGGAUCGCCCCGUGGGGCUGAGCGACGCUCCUCACUCGGCUUACGCAAAGCGUUGGAUGCACGCAGAGCAACAGCUGGUGACGGGAAGCUGAAGAGGGAGGAGGUGGAGGAGGAGGUGGAGGAGGUGGAGGGCGAAGCAGGAAAGGAGACGGGAAGUCUCGUGGCGAGGAGGAGGACGAGAGUCGAUUGACUGCGGAAUGUCCGGUCAGAGGAGGUGGCUGUUGAAGAUUCUCGAGGGUGUCAGAAGAUCUUAAGGAGGUGUCGGAAGAUCUUGAGGAGGCCUCUGAGGACCUCUGAGGAGGUGUUGGGAGACCUUGAGGAGGUGUCGGAAUCACCUUGAGGACCUCUGAGGACCUCUGAGGAGGUGUUGGGAGACCUUGAGGAGGUGUCGGAAUCACCUUGAGGACCUCUGAGGACCUCUGAGGAGGUGUUGGGAGACCUUGAGGAGGUGUUGGAAUCACCUUGAAGAGCUCUGAGGACCUCUUAGGAGGUGUUGGGAGACCUUGAGGAGGUGUCGGAAUCACCUUGAGGACCUCUGAGGACCUCUGAGGAGGUGUUUGUAGAUCUUGACACGAAGUAUUGGAUGGGCUUUGAGCGCGUUGAACGAGUAAUUUGAGGAGGUCGUUCCAGGACAUUGAGGAACCUUGAGGAGCCUUGAAGAACUAUUUGAAGGGACCACGGGAAUGACUUGGGCUCGAGAAGAUGACGAGACCGUGACGUCGCACGCCGCACGUGGACACCCACGGCGAUGAUUGAACUCCUCGCCACCGCUCGGGGUUGAACUCGGACUUGAGCCCCGCGCGCUCCAAGAGCGCGCACCGCCCACGUCGCUAGCGGUGCCAGGCUAGGUGCACCCUCAAGGCCGUGAGGCCGUGCGAAGGCUCUGCUGCUGCUGCUGCUGCCGCUGUUGGCAGGGGGGAGGAUCACGGCACAACCCAACCCAAGAUGCGGGAGACGUCACCGCAGCGCUAGCGGUGCCAGGCUAGGUGCACCCUCAAGGCCGCGAAGCGUGCCAAGGCUCUCUGCUGCUGCUGGGAGGAGGAGGGGGGGUCGCGCGAGACAGACACCGCAGGUGAAAUGGGUUGAGUGGCCGAGUCGAGCGGCAGAUGCACCAACACCUGUGGAGUGCUACACCCCAUCCCCGCCCGCCCCUCGACUGUGCCAACUCACCUGCGUUUUAUGCGCCCGCGGGCUUCCGGCUCGUUGUUGUGAGCGCCGCAGCUCCACCACCCCUCGCUGUUUGCCGGAGGGCGACUUCCCUGCAACUGCCCACACAAGACAAAGAUCCCCCGCAUAGCCUGCAAAGGGCUGUCGGGGCAAGUGCUGUGACGCUCACAACACACAA